This 253-nucleotide ribosomal RNA is filed under the name uncultured bacterium. RNAcentral describes it as "partial 16S ribosomal RNA". It matches the Rfam family "Bacterial small subunit ribosomal RNA", at positions 524 to 776 of the family's 1533-position model. The record is from RNAcentral.
UACGUAGGUGGCAAGCGUUGUCCGGAUUUACUGGGCGUAAAGCGUGUGUAGGCGGACCUUUAAGUAGAAAGUGAAAGGUUGGAGCUCAACUCCAACACUGCUUCCUAUACUGGAGGUCUUGAGUGCCGGAGAGGAAGAUGGAACUGCACGUGUAGCGGUGAAAUGCGUUGAUAUGUGCAGGAACACCAAUGGCGAAGGCAAUCUUCUGGACGGAUACUGACGCUCAUGCACGAAAGCGUGGGGAGCAAACAGG